RNAcentral lists this ribosomal RNA (516 nucleotides) under Bacillus pseudomycoides. RNAcentral's name for it is "bacterial SSU rRNA". It matches the Rfam family "Bacterial small subunit ribosomal RNA", at positions 415 to 921 of the family's 1533-position model. The record is from RNAcentral. Lineage: Bacteria; Bacillati; Bacillota; Bacilli; Caryophanales; Bacillaceae.
CUUUCGGGUCGUAAAACUCUGUUGUUAGGGAAGAACAAGUGCUAGUUGAAUAAGCUGGCACCUUGACGGUACCUAACCAGAAAGCCACGGCUAACUACGUGCCAGCAGCCGCGGUAAUACGUAGGUGGCAAGCGUUAUCCGGAAUUAUUGGGCGUAAAGCGCGCGCAGGUGGUUUCUUAAGUCUGAUGUGAAAGCCCACGGCUCAACCGUGGAGGGUCAUUGGAAACUGGGAGACUUGAGUGCAGAAGAGGAAAGUGGAAUUCCAUGUGUAGCGGUGAAAUGCGUAGAGAUAUGGAGGAACACCAGUGGCGAAGGCGACUUUCUGGUCUGUAACUGACACUGAGGCGCGAAAGCGUGGGGAGCAAACAGGAUUAGAUACCCUGGUAGUCCACGCCGUAAACGAUGAGUGCUAAGUGUUAGAGGGUUUCCGCCCUUUAGUGCUGAAGUUAACGCAUUAAGCACUCCGCCUGGGGAGUACGGCCGCAAGGCUGAAACUCAAAGGAAUUGACGGGGGCC